This 213-nucleotide unclassified non-coding RNA is filed under the name fungal sp. RNAcentral's name for it is "partial internal transcribed spacer region". The stretch from base 1 to 46 matches the Rfam family "Eukaryotic small subunit ribosomal RNA", at positions 1786 to 1831 of the family's 1831-position model. The record is from RNAcentral. Lineage: Eukaryota; Fungi.
AAGUCGUAACAAGGUUUCCGUAGGUGAACCUGCGGAAGGAUCAUUAACGAAUUUUGGGCCGAAAGGCCUCUGAUUCCACACUGUGUUUUAAGCGAGCGAUCUUUAUAAGCCGGAGACGGCGAGUGAAGGGAGACGCGAAACAAAUGUCUAUAGUCACAUAUAUGACAAACUUUUAAAAAAUUAAAACUUUCAACAACGGAUCUCUUGGUUCUG